Molecule: ribosomal RNA, 394 nt
Filed under: uncultured eukaryote
Lineage: Eukaryota
Description: SSU rRNA
Rfam family: Eukaryotic small subunit ribosomal RNA
Source: RNAcentral
CCAGCAGCUGCGGUAAUUCCAGCUCUAAUAGCGUAUAUUAAAGUUGUUGCAGUUAAAAAGCUCGUAGUCGGAUGUCGGGCUCGGGCAGGCUGUCGGCUUCGGUCGGACGGCAGGCUCGGAUCUUUCUGCCUUGUUUCUAUUUCGCACUUAACUGUUCGGAGUAGGGAUUAGGCCGUUUACUUUGAAAAAAUUAGAGUGUUCAAAGCAGGCCAACGCUUGAAUACAUUAGCAUGGAAUAAUGGAAUAGGACUUUGGUGCUAUUUCGUUGGUUUAUGGGACCGAAGUAAUGAUUAAUAGGGACAGUUGGGGCCGUUUAUAUUCCGUUGUCAGAGGUGAAAUUCUUGGAUUUACGGAAGAUAAACUUCUGCGAAAGCAUUCGGCAAGGAUGUUUUCA